AAUCCAUAGGUUAAUGAGGCGAACCGGGGGAACUGAAACAUCUAAGUACCCCGAGGAAAAGAAAUCAACCGAGAUUCCCCCAGUAGCGGCGAGCGAACGGGGAGGAGCCCAGAGCCUGAAUCAGCAUGUGUGUUAGUGGAAGCGUCUGGAAAGGCGCGCGAUACAGGGUGACAGCCCCGUACACAAAAGCGCAUGUGCUGUGAGCUCGAUGAGUAGGGCGGGACACGUGGUAUCCUGUCUGAAUAUGGGGGGACCAUCCUCCAAGGCUAAAUACUCCUGACUGACCGAUAGUGAACCAGUACCGUGAGGGAAAGGCGAAAAGAACCCCGGCGAGGGGAGUGAAAAAGAACCUGAAACCGUGUACGUACAAGCAGUGGGAGCACCCUUCGGGGUGUGACUGCGUACCUUUUGUAUAAUGGGUCAGCGACUUAUAUUCUGUAGCAAGGUUAACCGAAUAGGGGAGCCGUAGGGAAACCGAGUCUUAAC
RNAcentral lists this ribosomal RNA (486 nucleotides) under Salmonella enterica subsp. enterica serovar Uganda. Its description in RNAcentral is "partial 23S ribosomal RNA". It matches the Rfam family "Bacterial large subunit ribosomal RNA", at positions 161 to 688 of the family's 2925-position model. The record is from RNAcentral. Lineage: Bacteria; Pseudomonadati; Pseudomonadota; Gammaproteobacteria; Enterobacterales; Enterobacteriaceae.